UAGGGAAUCUUCCACAAUGGACGCAAGUCUGAUGGAGCAACGCCGCGUGAGUGAAGAAGGUUUUCGGACCGUAAAGCUCUGUUGUUGGUGAAGAAGGAUAGAGGUAGUAACUGGCCUUUAUUUGACGGUAAUCAACCAGAAAGUCACGGCUAACUACGUGCCAGCAGCCGCGGUAAUACGUAGGUGGCAAGCGUUGUCCGGAUUUAUUGGGCGUAAAGCGAGCGCAGGCGGAAGAAUAAGUCUGAUGUGAAAGCCCUCGGCUUAACCGAGGAAUU
This 275-nucleotide ribosomal RNA is filed under the name uncultured bacterium. Its description in RNAcentral is "partial 16S ribosomal RNA". It matches the Rfam family "Bacterial small subunit ribosomal RNA", at positions 355 to 622 of the family's 1533-position model. The record is from RNAcentral.